CAAGCGGUUUUUUUUGUAGACGAUCGAGUUAAAAACCAUAGAAUAUUAUCUUACGAAAUUUUU
Stegodyphus mimosarum is the source of this 63-nucleotide non-coding RNA. The record is from Rfam. Lineage: Eukaryota; Metazoa; Arthropoda; Arachnida; Araneae; Eresidae.